AAGUACCUACCACGCCACCCGCUACCUGUAAUAAUCCAUCUGAAGAGGUCGCCGGGCAGCGCCUCGGCAGACAGACUGACCUGCGGGGAGGUGCGGUUUCCAGUGGCGCGGGACAGCCGGCUCCGAGAAGGAACUGGGACCUUUGCCUAGGGCAAGACGUCAACAGGAACCCGCAGGCCCGGCCUGGACACCUGCUGCCCUCACUGGAAGCUUUAACUCCCACUCGAGUCUCUUGGCGUCGUCAGUGCCAGGAGCGCUUGGAUUGGGAUGGGGACGGAGAAGGGUGCCUCGCUCGCCGAGCCCCGCUGCCCUUGGGGACCUGGCAAAGUCGAGGUUUCCUCACAGCGUUGAGAUUGAGACUGGGGGUCGUGGUCUCAAAUAGUCAAGACCCCCUGCUGGGAGGAGCUUCUAUCCUGCUCUGUGGAAGAAAUGGGCAUGCCAGAUGCCUGGAAGAUCAGAGGCUCACAUUCCAGCUGUAGGUGGCCCACCAGGUGUCAACAACUGUAGAGUUCCAUCAAGAGUCAUCAUUUUACAGUUACAAGUCGGAGGGGCCUUCACAGAUCCGUCAGGCUCAACACUGCCUCCUUAGUGAGCCUGUGAACCACCCAAGACGGCUGGUCAUCAGUGUCAUCCUCUUCCUUUUCCGGACAACUAUCUUUAAAAGAAAAAAAAAGAGUGUCUUUGAAUGUAUCCAUUUUAUCCCCAAAUAAUCUUGUUUAAUAAAUUCCUUAUUAGG
RNAcentral lists this long non-coding RNA (736 nucleotides) under Homo sapiens (human). RNAcentral's name for it is "non-protein coding CYP1B1-AS1:49". The record is from RNAcentral. Lineage: Eukaryota; Metazoa; Chordata; Mammalia; Primates; Hominidae.